Molecule: ribosomal RNA, 764 nt
Filed under: uncultured Streptococcus sp.
Lineage: Bacteria; Bacillati; Bacillota; Bacilli; Lactobacillales; Streptococcaceae
Description: bacterial SSU rRNA
Rfam family: Bacterial small subunit ribosomal RNA
Source: RNAcentral
GACGAACGCUGGCGGCGUGCCUAAUACAUGCAAGUAGAACGCUGAAGGAGGAGCUUGCUUCUCCGGAUGAGUUGCGAACGGGUGAGUAACGCGUAGGUAACCUGCCUGGUAGCGGGGGAUAACUAUUGGAAACGAUAGCUAAUACCGCAUAACAGUAGAUAUUGCAUGAUAUCUGCUUGAAAGGUGCAAUUGCAUCACUACCAGAUGGACCUGCGUUGUAUUAGCUAGUUGGUGGGGUAACGGCUCACCAAGGCGACGAUACAUAGCCGACCUGAGAGGGUGAUCGGCCACACUGGGACUGAGACACGGCCCAGACUCCUACGGGAGGCAGCAGUAGGGAAUCUUCGGCAAUGGACGGAAGUCUGACCGAGCAACGCCGCGUGAGUGAAGAAGGUUUUCGGAUCGUAAAGCUCUGUUGUAAGAGAAGAACGAGUGUGAGAGUGGAAAGUUCACACUGUGACGGUAUCUUACCAGAAAGGGACGGCUAACUACGUGCCAGCAGCCGCGGUAAUACGUAGGUCCCGAGCGUUGUCCGGAUUUAUUGGGCGUAAAGCGAGCGCAGGCGGUUAGAUAAGUCUGAAGUUAAAGGCUGUGGCUUAACCAUAGUACGCUUUGGAAACUGUUUAACUUGAGUGCAAGAGGGGAGAGUGGAAUUCCAUGUGUAGCGGUGAAAUGCGUAGAUAUAUGGAGGAACACCGGUGGCGAAAGCGGCUCUCUGGCUUGUAACUGACGCUGAGGCUCGAAAGCGUGGGGAGCAAACAUGG